AGCCAAGCUUUGAAACACAUUGUGUAUUGUGCCACAAGGUGUCAUCGUUUUGCUCAUUAAGGGCACAGGUAUAAAAGUAUGUCACCGCCUGGGUAUCAGAUGUGUGUCUUGACCCGGAAGGGCAGUUGGUUUUUGACCGUUGUUGCGUUAUCAUGUUGUUACAUUGUUGCCUUGUCACGUUGUUACGUUGUCACGCUGUUACGUUGUCACGCUGUUACGUUGGAUGCUGUGACGUUGGAUGCUGUGACGCUGCGUCGGCAGGUGGCAUGGAGAACCGCGUCUAAAAUGUUUGUCCAUGCAAUGAAGGAGAAACUUGUGGACGCUGUCUAACUGUUCGUACGGUGACGCAAUAAAUGGAUUGUAUGGUGCUGCAAACCAAAGUUACGCCUAAGACCUGUUAUUUCAACAACUACAGUAAACGGUAUUGUAUGGACAAACAAAUGACAGUACAACGCGUCAGCCAAGUCAUUCCCGGGAGAUAUCAAAACACACCGGCAGCUUUAGUACAGGACUAAGCUUCUAUAUUCCAUCUGAUGAUGCAUUUGCAUACAUAAACCAGAAAAACUUGAAUUCCGUGAAUGUGCAGCUGAUAUGUGAUGCAAACUGUGUGUUGCUCAACGUUGUGGCUUGGUGGGACGCAUGACAGCUUCAUACUGCGCAACAGCGCAGUUAGCACCAGUUUGGAGAAUGGAGCUGUGAAAGACGGCUGGCUUGUCGGGGACCGGGGUUACCCUCUGACCCAGUGUUUAAUGACACCCCUGGCCAACCCACAGACACAAUGGCAGCUGGCAUAUAAUGAAGCCCACGCCGUCACGAGGGCCGUUAUAGAGUGCACAAACGGCGUUCUCAAGGCGAGAUGGUUGUGUCUGGAUCACAGAGGUGGCACCCUUCUCUAUGCACCCGAGGAGGUGUGCAAAAUUAUAAUGGCCUGCUGUGUCCUGCACAAUAUUUCAAUUAGGCUAAGUGGGGCCUUCCCGUGCCUGAGGUCCUAAAUCCACCUGAGUGACUGCCUCCACAACCAGCUUGUGAGGUCAGAAAUGCGACUGCUAUUCAGACACGCCUGCAACUUAUAGAGCGUUUUUAAGGACCAGGUCACCUCUCCGGCCUCUGCGUCUGGGAGAAGGAGCAGUGGGAGCAGCAGGUGGAGGACUCACACCACGGGAGUAAGACUCAUCGGCUGAAACAAUUAAAAAACCCAUCAAUAAAUAUGCUUUUGAAAAACAA
Molecule: long non-coding RNA, 1224 nt
Organism: Notolabrus celidotus (New Zealand spotty)
Lineage: Eukaryota; Metazoa; Chordata; Actinopteri; Labriformes; Labridae
Exons: 3
Source: RefSeq, a predicted model, not a curated record